The sequence is a small RNA, 397 nucleotides long. It matches the Rfam family "Pseudomonas sRNA CrcZ". The record is from Rfam.
ACAACAACAAUAACAAGCAGAUCCCACAAUAAGAACAAGACGUAACGGCUCCAGCAAAACAACGACAAGAAGGCGGAGGCGCAGCUAACUGAUUCUUUUGGAGAGGACAUGCCACGGGGUUCGCCCCACGACCAGGCCGAGAACAACAAAAACUGCAUCGAGCAGGCCCUGCACUGGUUGGAUCGAAGAUCAAGGCAACGUCAGCGACCAAAGAAAUCCGUUUGCUAUUGGCUCCCACUGUGGGAGCGUUCCCGACGGCCACGGCCCGAAGGACAGGCGAACAACAAGAACAGCAACGCCUGAGAAGACCAAUAACAAUAAAUAAGCACGCGACAUUAUUCAGAGGGGAGCUUCGGCUCCCCUCAGUGCUAUCUGGCUCCGCGGUUUCCUUCCGCAC